Molecule: ribosomal RNA, 617 nt
Filed under: uncultured bacterium
Lineage: Bacteria
Description: bacterial SSU rRNA
Rfam family: Bacterial small subunit ribosomal RNA
Source: RNAcentral
CAUGCAGUCGAGCGACGCAUACCGGAGGGGUAACCCACUGGUAUGACGGAGCGGCGAACGGGUGAGUAACACGUGAGUAACCUGCCCCACAGACCGGGACAGCCCAGGGAAACCUGGAUUAAUACCGGAUAUCCUCGAAGGAUCGCAUGAUCUUCCGAGGAAAUGCUUUUGUGCUGUGGGAUGGGCUCGCGACUUAUCAGCUAGUUGGUGGGGUAACGGCCUACCAAGGCGUCGACGAGUAGCUGGUCUGAGAGGACGAUCAGCCACACUGGGACUGAGACACGGCCCAGACUCCUACGGGAGGCAGCAGCAGGGAAUCUUGCGCAAUGGGCGAAAGCCUGACGCAGCAACGCCGCGUGGGGGAUGAAGGCCUUCGGGUUGUAAACCCCUUUCAGGAGGGAAGAAAUUGACGGUACCUCCAAAAGAAGCACCGGCCAACUACGUGCCAGCAGCCGCGGUAAUACGUAGGGUGCGAGCGUUAUCCGGAAUCAUUGGGCGUAAAGAGCUCGUAGGCGGUUCAGUAAGUCGGCUGUGAAAUUUCGAGGCUCAACCUCGAAACUGCAGUCGAAACUGCUGUGACUCGAGUCCGGUAGAGGAGAAUGGAAUUCCCGGUGUAG